GCAAGUCGAGCGGAAACGAUGAGAGCUUGCUCUCAGGCGUCGAGCGGCGGACGGGUGAGUAACGCGUAGGAAUCUACCCAGUAGCGGGGGAUAGCCCGGGGAAACCCGGAUUAAUACCGCAUACGCCCCACGGGGGAAAGCAGGGGACCUUCGGGCCUUGCACUAUUGGAUGAGCCUAUGUCAGAUUAGCUUGUUGGUGGGGUAAUGGCCUACCAAGGCGACGAUCUGUAGCUGGUCUGAGAGGACGAUC
RNAcentral lists this ribosomal RNA (250 nucleotides) under uncultured bacterium. Its description in RNAcentral is "partial 16S ribosomal RNA". It matches the Rfam family "Bacterial small subunit ribosomal RNA", at positions 57 to 305 of the family's 1533-position model. The record is from RNAcentral.